AGAUGAAGAAGAGGAAGUAGGAUCCCAUUGACCAACCUACUCUGAAGAGGAGUAAUGAAACAAGCACUAGAUCGGCGGCUCUCCGAUCUUCACCUACCCCAGUUCCAGGAUCCAUAACAAUAAAUACUACCCCAAUCUCCAUGGCACCGUCGGUGGCCAAGACACAACAUCGACAAACUAUCGAUGUGGCUCGUCCACCUCCUAUGGAGGCGACUGUGUGCCCAAGGUAGAGUUUUUCACUAAUGCCUCCUCCCACAUCAUCAAGACCAGCUUAAUCGGUGGAGCAGCAA
RNAcentral lists this long non-coding RNA (290 nucleotides) under Elaeis guineensis (African oil palm). RNAcentral's name for it is "long non-coding RNA (EGUI_LNC034748)". Lineage: Eukaryota; Viridiplantae; Streptophyta; Magnoliopsida; Arecales; Arecaceae. The record is from RNAcentral.